GAUGAAGAACGCAGUGAAAUGUGAUAAGUAAUGUGAAUUGCAGAAUCUCGUGAAUCAUCGAAUCUUUGAACGCACAUUGCGCCCAAUGGUAUUCCAUUGGGCAUACCUGUUUGAGUAUCAGAAUCCUUUCAAUUAUCAAACUUUUAUAUAUAGAGAUGUAUGUAAAGAUGUUUGGAAUGAAGUUGAGAAAAGUAGUAUUGUUUAUAAUAUUACUUUCUUAAAAACCAGAAAUAUUAUGUUUUGAUUUUUCUUCACCUCAUUUUGUAUGAAAUUUUAACAAAUGAGUAUGAGUAAAAAUAACAAUACUUUGGAUGACCUCAAAUCAGGUAGGGAUACCCGCUGAACUUAAGCAUAUCAAUAAGCGGAGGA
Molecule: unclassified non-coding RNA, 369 nt
Filed under: soil metagenome
Description: partial contains 5.8S ribosomal RNA, internal transcribed spacer 2, and large subunit ribosomal RNA
Rfam family: 5.8S ribosomal RNA (bases 1-120)
Source: RNAcentral